Long non-coding RNA from Eublepharis macularius, 865 nucleotides. RefSeq lists it as uncharacterized. The transcript has 2 exons. The record is from RefSeq and is a predicted model, not a curated record. NCBI's taxonomy places the organism in Eukaryota, Metazoa, Chordata, Lepidosauria, Squamata, Eublepharidae.
UGCGCACUCAACUUCAGGAAACAUCAUUACCUGUGGGAAAUUUUAAAUGUGGCCGAUGUACUUUGUGUAAAUUUAUGCUAGAGGGGAAGGAGAUUUUUGUUAAGGAACGGAAACUGACAGUUAAACACUUUGCAUCAUGUUACACAUCGGGUGUGAUAUACUUACUUGAAUGUCCCUGUGCUCUUUUUUAUGUGGGUUGUACGAUAAGACCAUUGAAAACUAGGAUCUUUGAACAUAUGUCUAGAAUUAGGCACAGAGUAAUGGAAGCACCCCUGGUACAACAUUUUAUCGAGCAUCGUCAUGAAGAAAAUUCCUUUAAAGUAGCGGUACUGGAGGUUGUAACUAAGGGACAUGCAAAUCAAAUUAAGCUACUGAGGAGGGAAGCAUUUUGGAUUGUCUUUCUGCAGACGAUCAGACCGCACGGCCUCAAUACGGAACUAUCAUUGAAUUGUUUUUUAUAAUCAGUUAUGUUGCUUUAAAGUUUUGAGAUUGGAUAAUGAGUAUGUGAUUUAAACUGCAGUUGAAGGGUUUGGCCACAAGCAGGAGAAGAUACAGCUGCUGUGACUGUGAUACUGGAGACACACGUUUCCACAAUAAUUAUUGAUUCAAAUACCCUAUGCUGUGUGAAUACAACAGCUGAAUGCAUAUGAGAAGCUGUUUGGCUGAAUUUAUAUGAGAAGACUUUGUGAAGACUCAUCUGCAUACCGUGAUAUUACUGCGAUUAAGGAAUACACAUUGAGGAAUACACACAGAUGAUAGACUCUCUGGACAUCUUUAUUGGCUAUAUAUAAACAGUUUGUAUAAUUUUCGUGCAAUUGCCUUUGAAAUUACCUUAUAAUAUCAUAUAAAAAGUAUAUUAAUUCUU